This is a long non-coding RNA of Gorilla gorilla gorilla (western lowland gorilla), 568 nucleotides long. RefSeq lists it as uncharacterized. The transcript has 3 exons. Lineage: Eukaryota; Metazoa; Chordata; Mammalia; Primates; Hominidae. The record is from RefSeq and is a predicted model, not a curated record.
CCCAGCUCAGGGAUCCUGUCUCCCCACAAAAAGCAGCAGCAGGAGACCCCUCUGAGUUCUGAACAUGUUCCUAGAUUUUCCCAGUAUCUAUGGGGAUUGCGAGAUUGAUAAAGGCUGCUUGGAGCUGAAAGUACAGAGAGAGGCUCCUUACACUGACAUUCAAAGUCCUCAAUGACCCGGCCCCAGCCUACCUCUGCAGCCUUAUCUCCCUACAAACCAUCAAAGCAGAACAAAAAGCUGUGCCUCCGAUUUAGGUUUUAGCAAACCACAAGAAGCACUUCAUAAACUGGUGACUCAAGUAGAAAAGUACUGUUCCAUGCACUUGACACCAAUCCUCCCAUUUCACCUGCAUGAUCACCCUGCCUUUGCAUGAGUUGCCGGUGUGGACAGAGCAGGGACACAGUGAGGCAGUGGAUUCCAGCUUUGCUCUUACCUAGAACACACUGCCUUUCACCAGGAAUCGUCCUUCCAUUUUAUGCAGUUAUCCCAGACAAUGAUGCACAAGCUUUGGGAAAAAAACCCCACAAGUCCAAAGGUGUACUUCAUAAUAAAGGCAAGUUCUCUGUCA